Molecule: ribosomal RNA, 431 nt
Filed under: uncultured bacterium
Lineage: Bacteria
Description: partial 16S ribosomal RNA
Rfam family: Bacterial small subunit ribosomal RNA
Source: RNAcentral
CCUACGGGAGGCAGCAGUGAGGAAUUUUCCGCAAUGGGCGCAAGCCUGACGGAGCAAUGCCGCGUGAAGGAAGAAGGCCCGUGGGUUGUAAACUUCUUUUCUUAGAGAAGACGUAUUUGAGGAAUAAGCAUCGGCUAACCCUGUGCCAGCAGCCGCGGUAAUACAGAGGAUGCAAGCGUUAUCCGGAAUGAUUGGGCGUAAAGGGUCUGUAGGUGGUUUUGACAGUCUGCUGUUAAAUCUCAGGGCUCAACCCUGUUAAGGCGCAUGAAACUACGAAUCUUGAGUACGGUAGGGGCAGAGGGAAUUCCCGGUGGAGUGGUGAAAUGCGUAGAUCUCGGGAAGAACACCAAAGGCGAAAGCACUCUGCUGGGCGAACUGACACUGAGGGACGAAAGCUAGGGGAGCGAAAGGGAUUAGAUACCCUUGUAGUC